UUGUGGAGGAGGACGCCGAAGGUGGGGCUAAUGACUGGGGUGAAGUCGUAACAAGGUAGCCGUACCGGAAGGUGCGGCUGGAUCACCUCCUAACAGGGAGACAACAAAAUGUUUAAUAUUAUUAUUUUGUCACCUUAGGUCGAUCGGUAUCUCACGUUCUUAAUUUUAUUAAGAAUCUCAUUUCCUAAGUUUUUCUAGGUCACACCCAUUAUUUUCCUGGGCCAUUAGCUCAGGUGGUUAGAGCGCACCCCUGAUAAGGGUGAGGUCCCUGGUUCAAGUCCAGGAUGGCCCAUAUCUCUAUGUUGGGGGUAUAGCUCAGUUGGUAGAGCGCCUGCUUUGCAAGCAGGAUGUCAGCGGUUCGAGUCCGCUUACCUCCACUGAUUACCACCUCUUCCAUAAUCUUUAGAAAGGAAAAUUUUGAGUUGUGACACAAUUCUGAACGAAUCUAGCUUCCUAAUGAAAUCAUUAAGAUGCUGGACUCAUUGAAUUAAUUUCAUUGUUUUCAGAGAACCUUGACAACUGCAUAGAUUAUUUUUAAAGACAAUAAGCAUCUUUAAUGAUGCAGAUUUAUUAUUUGUGCGAAUGCAUUAAUAACAAUUCUAUUAAGCUGAUGCUUCAAUUAUGAAGUUAUUGGUCAAGCUACAA
RNAcentral lists this unclassified non-coding RNA (645 nucleotides) under uncultured Prochlorococcus sp. Its description in RNAcentral is "partial 16S-23S ribosomal RNA intergenic spacer; may also contain 16S ribosomal RNA and 23S ribosomal RNA". The stretch from base 305 to 377 matches the Rfam family "tRNA". Lineage: Bacteria; Bacillati; Cyanobacteriota; Cyanophyceae; Synechococcales; Prochlorococcaceae. The record is from RNAcentral.